UUAGGAUGAGCCUCCUGGUGGAGGAGAGUGCUCCUGCCUCUCCUGCCUCUCUUUAUGGAUUGUAUGUCAAGGAGACACCCGCAAGGACUCUGGUGGCCUGGACAUACUUCUGGAAGACUGACUCUUCCAGACUGAUGAAACCAAAGGACUGGACAGUGUUGAAUCCUUGGGGGGAAGAAAAACCAACACUUUUUUUUUAAGCUGACAGCACAUUCCAUCCACUCGGCAAUGUAGAACUAAUGAAGAUAUAAGUGUUGAGAUGUUUCCCAAAAUGCCUCACAAAUAUUCUGGGAUGUCACCUUUUGCAAUGGAUCUGCAGGUUCCAUCGUGCCCUAGCUUUUUGCCUGAGGGGAGGCUCUGGCCAUGGGUCCCUUUUCAGGUCAGCAAGAGUGCCGUGCAGAGCAGGAGCCCCAUCCAAUGCUCUACAGCUCUGGACUCCUGCCAAUCCUCCCUUGGCCAAGGCCUCCAGAAGUCAGAGAGCGAGGGAACAUAUGAACUAUCUAUCCUGGUCUACUGUCAAUCUCCUUCCACUGAAAUAUCAGCUCCACAAGGCUAGUGGUGUCAUGGAUUUGCUCACUGCUGUAGGUGCCUAGUGAAUAUUUGCUGGAAAUGGAAUACAUGGAUAGGCUUGGAGCUAACUAGAAAAAGCUUGAAAAGUUCUUUGGAAGUGGAAACCGUUUCAGAAGACCUGGAGUCUUUCUCAUCAUGGUAGUCUGCAGACCCAAUCAAUCUAUGAGAAACCCAGCAGUUCCACCUCACUGCUGCACACUGAUUCCAUUACCCAGGGCUUCUGGAGGUCUUCAUUCAUCAAGGCCUGUCUGCUCUCACUGAGUGCGCUACUUUACCCCAAUGUUAUCACAGACAACCAGGACUAUAUUAAACUUGUCAAAGUAAGAGUCUUUUAGAGGGAUGGAACAUCCUGAACUUUUUUUUCAAAUGGAGACAUUUUCCUGUUUCUUGAGUGUGUUAAGAGGGACAGGGGUCCCCCACCUUUAGUUUUUGGCCAUAACAGAAAAAAAAUUUUGAUAAAGAUCAGAUAUUAUUAUUACCAUUUAAAUAUUUACCUAUGAAAUUUAGUGAGUGGCAAUGAAACUUCUUGGCAUUUAAUUUUUUUGAUGUUCUGCCAUUGGGAACUUAUCUUUGCAACACUUUUUGUUAAGAGAUGUCAUGAUUCUGGGUUGGAGGAAGAUAGGAAUAUCUAAAAUGCUAUGUCAUGGUUCAAUUGUACAGAAAAAAAUAAGGUAAACAUGAAAAGAAAAUCCAUUUGACCAUGGUGUUUGUGGCUAUUUCCUUCUGGCAUCUCAAGGGUUGCGAUGUAAGGUACUUAAAUCAACAGCCA
RNAcentral lists this long non-coding RNA (1339 nucleotides) under Homo sapiens (human). RNAcentral's name for it is "non-protein coding lnc-BNIP1-4:1". The record is from RNAcentral. Lineage: Eukaryota; Metazoa; Chordata; Mammalia; Primates; Hominidae.